ACGUUCGGGUAAUCGCUGCAAGGAUCGUAAGUGAAUUGUAGAGGAAAGUCCAUGCUCGCACGGUCUGAGAUGUCCGUAGUGUUCGUGCCUAGCCAAUUCAUAAGCUAGGGCAGCUAGGUUUUUACUUGGCUGACGGCAGGGAAAAUGCCUAAGUCGAUUUCGAUAUGGCAUGAAUACCUUGAAAGUGCCACAGUGACGGAGCCCAUUUAGAAAUGAAUGGGGUGGAACGAGGUAAACCCCACGAGCGAGAAACCCAAAUUAUGGUAGGGGCACCUUCUCUUAGGAAAUGAACGAGGAGAAGGACAGGUUCAGUUGAAUCUGUAGAUAGAUGAUUGCCACCUGAGUACGAGACGUUCAGUCGAUUGUAGUACAAAGGAACAAAACAUGGCUUAUAGAA
RNAcentral lists this RNase P RNA (397 nucleotides) under Bacillus sp. Y1. Its description in RNAcentral is "Bacterial RNase P class B". It matches the Rfam family "Bacterial RNase P class B". From Rfam's summary of the family: Ribonuclease P (RNase P) is a ubiquitous endoribonuclease, found in archaea, bacteria and eukarya as well as chloroplasts and mitochondria. Its best characterised activity is the generation of mature 5'-ends of tRNAs by cleaving the 5'-leader elements of precursor-tRNAs. The record is from Rfam by way of RNAcentral. Lineage: Bacteria; Bacillati; Bacillota; Bacilli; Caryophanales; Bacillaceae.